Molecule: long non-coding RNA, 247 nt
Organism: Juglans microcarpa x Juglans regia
Lineage: Eukaryota; Viridiplantae; Streptophyta; Magnoliopsida; Fagales; Juglandaceae
Exons: 2
Source: RefSeq, a predicted model, not a curated record
AUGAAGGAGGCAUGCUUUUAUGUCAUAAAGACCAUGUACAGCUAAAAUGAAAAUAGAAAAGGACGGAUAAAAGGUAAUUAGAGUAUCAAUUAGAUGAUAGUAUCUGAGGAGAUCUGAAAGAGAACGAAGAAAAGCAAGAAACAAAUUACAAAAGAACAUUGAGGGAAAUGAUUGAGAGAAAGAGAAAGAUGAUUGGCGAGUAUGGAGAAGACGAAAUGAAAUGGCAAAGACGACAUGGGAAGAAAAA